RNAcentral lists this ribosomal RNA (3526 nucleotides) under Streptomyces sp. ICBB 8177. RNAcentral describes it as "bacterial LSU rRNA". It matches the Rfam family "Bacterial large subunit ribosomal RNA". Lineage: Bacteria; Bacillati; Actinomycetota; Actinomycetes; Kitasatosporales; Streptomycetaceae. The record is from RNAcentral.
CCAAGUUUUUAAGGGCGCACGGUGGAUGCCUUGGCACCAGGAACCGAUGAAGGACGUGGGAGGCCGCGAUAGGCCCCGGGGAGCUGUCAACCGAGCUGUGAUCCGGGGGUGUCCGAAUGGGGAAACCCGGCAGUCGUCAUGGGCUGUCACCUACUGCUGAACACAUAGGCAGUGUGGAGGGAACGCGGGGAAGUGAAACAUCUCAGUACCCGCAGGAAGAGAAAACAACCGUGAUUCCGGGAGUAGUGGCGAGCGAAACUGGAUGAGGCCAAACCAGUCACGUGUGAUACCCGGCAGGGGUUGCGUGGUUGGGGUUGUGGGAUCUCUUGUUCACGGUCUGCCGGCCGUGGGGCGAGUCAGAAACCGUUGAUGUAGGCGAAGGACAUGCGAAAGGUCCGGCGUAGAGGGNNNNNNNNNNGUAUUGGUGUGAUACCCGGCAGGGGUUGCCAGUGCGGGGUUGUGGGAUCUCUUGUUCACGGUCUGCCGGCCGUGGGGCGAGUCAGAAACCGUUGAUGUAGGCGAAGGACAUGCGAAAGGUCCGGCGUAGAGGGUAAGACCCCCGUAGCUGAAACGUCAGCGGCUCGUUUGAGAGACACCCAAGUAGCACGGGGCCCGAGAAAUCCCGUGUGAAUCUGGCGGGACCACCCGUUAAGCCUAAAUAUUCCCUGGUGACCGAUAGCGGAUAGUACCGUGAGGGAAUGGUGAAAAGUACCGCGGGAGCGGAGUGAAAUAGUACCUGAAACCGUGUGCCUACAAGCCGUGGGAGCGUCGCACAUCGAGCUUGCUCGGUGUGUCGUGACUGCGUGCCUUUUGAAGAAUGAGCCUGCGAGUUAGCGGUGUGUAGCGAGGUUAACCCGUGUGGGGUAGCCGUAGCGAAAGCGAGUCCGAAGAGGGCGUUUUGAGUUGCACGCUCUAGACCCGAAGCGGAGUGAUCUAGCCAUGGGCAGGUUGAAGCGGCUGUAAGAGGUCGUGGAGGACCGAACCCACCAGGGUUGAAANNNNNNNNNNAUUCGAGUUGCACGCUCUAGACCCGAAGCGGAGUGAUCUAGCCAUGGGCAGGUUGAAGCGGCUGUAAGAGGUCGUGGAGGACCGAACCCACCAGGGUUGAAAACCUGGGGGAUGACCUGUGGUUAGGGGUGAAAGGCCAAUCAAACUCCGUGAUAGCUGGUUCUCCCCGAAAUGCAUUUAGGUGCAGCGUCGUGUGUUUCUUGCCGGAGGUAGAGCACUGGAUAGGCGAUGGGCCCUACCGGGUUACUGACCUUAGCCAAACUCCGAAUGCCGGUAAGUGAGAGCGCGGCAGUGAGACUGUGGGGGAUAAGCUCCAUGGUCGAGAGGGAAACAGCCCAGAGCAUCGACUAAGGCCCCUAAGCGUAUGCUAAGUGGGAAAGGAUGUGGAGUCGCAGAGACAACCAGGAGGUUGGCUUAGAAGCAGCCACCCUUGAAAGAGUGCGUAAUAGCUCACUGGUCAAGUGAUUCCGCGCCGACAAUGUAGCGGGGCUCAAGUAUACCGCCGAAGUCGUGUCACUCACACAUUACCGCCAACGCGGGUGUGGGUGGGUAGGGGAGCGUCGUGUGCCGGGUGAAGCAGCCGUGGAAGCGAGUUGUGGACGGUUCACGAGUGAGAAUGCAGGCAUGAGUAGCGAUUCACACGUGGGAAACGUGUGCGCCGAUUGACUAAGGGUUCCUGGGUCAAGCUGAUCUGCCCAGGGUAAGUCGGGACCUAAGGCGAGGCCGACAGGCGUAGUCGAUGGACAACCGGUUGAUAUUCCGGUACCCGCUUUGAAGCGCCCAGUAUCGAAUCUUCUGAUGCUAAGGCCGUGAAGCCGCCUGCUGAGUCUUCGGACGAGGUGGGAGUGGUGGAGCCGCUGGCCCGAGGGAGUAGUAGGUAAGUGAUGGGGUGACGCAGGAAGGUAGUCCAGCCCGGGCGGUGGUUGUCCCGGGGUAAGGGUGUAGCCCGAGUGGUAGNNNNNNNNNNUUGAUCUCUUCGGAGUGAUGGGGAGUGGUGGAGCCGCCGGCCCGAGGGAGUAGUAGGUAAGUGAUGGGGUGACGCAGGAAGGUAGUCCAGCCCGGGCGGUGGUUGUCCCGGGGUAAGGGUGUAGCCCGAGUGGUAGGUAAAUCCGCCACUCACAUGAGGGUGAGACCUGAUGCCGAGCCGAUUGUGGUGAAGUGGAUGAUCCUAUGCUGUCGAGAAAAGCCUCUAGCGAGUUUCAUGGCGGCCCGUACCCUAAACCGACUCAGGUGGUCUGGUAGAGAAUACCGAGGCGUUCGGGUGAACUAUGGUUAAGGAACUCGGCAAAAUGCCCCCGUAACUUCGGGAGAAGGGGGGCCACACCUGGUGAUCACCCUUGCGGUGUGAGCUGGGGGUGGCCGCAGAGACCAGCGAGAAGCGACUGUUUACUAAAAACACAGGUCCGUGCGAAGCCGUAAGGCGAUGUAUACGGACUGACGCCUGCCCGGUGCUGGAACGUUAAGGGGACCGGUUAGCUCCAUUUCGGUGGGGCGAAGCUGAGAACUUAAGCGCCAGUAAACGGCGGUGGUAACUAUAACCAUCCUAAGGUAGCGAAAUUCCUUGUCGGGUAAGUUCCGACCUGCACGAAUGGCGUAACGACUUCUCGACUGUCUCAACCAUAGGCCCGGUGAAAUUGCAUUACGAGUAAAGAUGCUCGUUUCGCGCAGCAGGACGGAAAGACCCCGGGACCUUUACUACAGUUUGAUAUUGGUGUUCGGUUCGGCUUGUGUAGGAUAGCUGGGAGACUGUGAGGCCUGGACGCCAGUUCGGGUGGAGUCGUUGUUGAAAUACCAGUCUGGUCGUGCUGGAUGUCUAACCUGGGUCCCUAAUCGGGAUCAGGGACAGUGUCUGAUGGGUAGUUUAACUGGGGCGGUUGCCUCCUAAAGGGUAACGGAGGCGCCCAAAGGUUCCCUCAGCCUGGUUGGCAAUCAGGUGUUGAGUGUAAGUGCACAAGGGAGCUUGACUGUGAGACUGACGGGUCGAGCAGGAGCGAAAGCUGGGACUAGUGAUCCGGCGGUGGCUUGUGGAAGCGCCGUCGCUCAACGGAUAAAAGGUACCCCGGGGAUAACAGGCUGAUCUUCCCCAAGAGUCCAUAUCGACGGGAUGGUUUGGCACCUCGAUGUCGGCUCGUCGCAUCCUGGGGCUGGAGUCGGUCCCAAGGGUUGGGCUGUUCGCCCAUUAAAGCGGUACGCGAGCUGGGUUUAGAACGUCGUGAGACAGUUCGGUCCCUAUCCGCUGUGCGCGUAGGAGUCUUGAGAAGGGCUGUCCCUAGUACGAGAGGACCGGGACGGACGGACCUCUGGUGUGCCAGUUGUUCUGCCAAGGGCAUGGCUGGUUGGCUACGUUCGGGAGGGAUAACCGCUGAAAGCAUCUAAGCGGGAAGCCUGCUUCGAGAUGAGGGCUCCCACCCACUUGAUGGGGUAAGGCUCCCAGUAGACGACUGGGUUGAUAGGCCGGAGAUGGAAGCCAGGUGACUGGUGGAGUUGACCGGUACUAAUAGGCCGAGGGCUUGUCCUC